This 472-nucleotide ribosomal RNA is filed under the name uncultured Allobrachymonas sp. Its description in RNAcentral is "bacterial SSU rRNA". It matches the Rfam family "Bacterial small subunit ribosomal RNA", at positions 904 to 1382 of the family's 1533-position model. Lineage: Bacteria; Pseudomonadati; Pseudomonadota; Betaproteobacteria; Burkholderiales; Comamonadaceae. The record is from RNAcentral.
UUAAGGAAUUGACGGGGCCCGCGACAAGCGGUGGGCAUGUGGUUAAUUCGAUGAUACGCGAAGAACCUUACCGGGGUUGACAUGCAGGUGAUCGCCGUUGAAAGACGGUUUCCUCUUCGGAGGCACCUGCACAGGUGCUGCAUGGCUGUCGUCAGCUCGUGUCGUGAGAUGUUGGGUUAAGUCCCGCAACGAGCGCAACCCUUGCCAUUAGUUGCUACGAAAGGGCACUCUAAUGGGACUGCCGGUGACGAACCGGAGGAAGGUGGGGAUGACGUCAAGUCCUCAUGGCCCUUAUAGGUGGGGCUACACACGUCAUACAAUGGCCGGUACAGAGGGUAGCCAACCCGCGAGGGGGAGCCAAUCCCACAAAGCCGGUCGUAGUCCGGAUCGCAGUCUGCAACUCGACUGCGUGAAGUCGGAAUCGCUAGUAAUCGCGGAUCAGCAUGUCGCGGUGAAUACGUUCCCGGGUCUU